GAUGUAACGGGGCUAAACCAUGCACCGAAGCUGCGGCAGCGACGCUUAUGCGUUGUUGGGUAGGGGAGCGUUCUGUAAGCCUGCGAAGGUGUGCUGUGAGGCAUGCUGGAGGUAUCAGAAGUGCGAAUGCUGACAUAAGUAACGAUAAAGCGGGUGAAAAGCCCGCUCGCCGGAAGACCAAGGGUUCCUGUCCAACGUUAAUCGGGGCAGGGUGAGUCGACCCCUAAGGCGAGGCCGAAAGGCGUAGUCGAUGGGAAACAGGUUAAUAUUCCUGUACUUGGUGUUACUGCGAAGGGGGGACGGAGAAGGCUAUGUUGGCCGGGCGACGGUUGUCCCGGUUUAAGCGUGUAGGCUGGUUUUCCAGGCAAAUCCGGAAAAUCAAGGCUGAGGCGUGAUGACGAGGCACUACGGUGCUGAAGCAACAAAUGCCCUGCUUCCAGGAAAAGCCUCUAAGCAUCAGGUAACAUCAAAUCGUACCCCAAACCGACACAGGUGGUCAGGUAGAGAAUACCAAGGCGCUUGAGAGAACUCGGGUGAAGGAACUAGGCAAAAUGGUGCCGUAACUUCGGGAGAAGGCACGCUGAUAUGUAGGUGAAGCGACUUGCUCGUGGAGCUGAAAUCAGUCGAAGAUACCAGCUGGCUGCAACUGUUUAUUAAAAACACAGCACUGUGCAAACACGAAAGUGGACGUAUACGGUGUGACGCCUGCCCGGUGCCGGAAGGUUAAUUGAUGGGGUUAGCGCAAGCGAAGCUCUUGAUCGAAGCCCCGGUAAACGGCGGCCGUAACUAUAACGGUCCUAAGGUAGCGAAAUUCCUUGUCGGGUAAGUUCCGACCUGCACGAAUGGCGUAAUGAUGGCCAGGCUGUCUCCACCCGAGACUCAGUGAAAUUGAACUCGCUGUGAAGAUGCAGUGUACCCGCGGCAAGACGGAAAGACCCCGUGAACCUUUACUAUAGCUUGACACUGAACAUUGAGCCUUGAUGUGUAGGAUAGGUGGGAGGCUUUGAAGUGUGGACGCCAGUCUGCAUGGAGCCGACCUUGAAAUACCACCCUUUAAUGUUUGAUGUUCUAACGUUGACCCGUAAUCCGGGUUGCGGACAGUGUCUGGUGGGUAGUUUGACUGGGGCGGUCUCCUCCUAAAGAGUAACGGAGGAGCACGAAGGUUGGCUAAUCCUGGUCGGACAUCAGGAGGUUAGUGCAAUGGCAUAAGCCAGCUUGACUGCGAGCGUGACGGCGCGAGCAGGUGCGAAAGCAGGUCAUAGUGAU
RNAcentral lists this non-coding RNA (1266 nucleotides) under Hansenula ciferrii. Its description in RNAcentral is "bacterial LSU rRNA". It matches the Rfam family "Bacterial large subunit ribosomal RNA", at positions 1169 to 2419 of the family's 2925-position model. Lineage: Eukaryota; Fungi; Ascomycota; Saccharomycetes; Phaffomycetales; Wickerhamomycetaceae. The record is from RNAcentral.